GUGUUCAAGACCUCACUCGCUGUAGGAAAUAUCCAUGCUGUGAUGUUCCUAAAAGUGAGUGAUUCUUCACCGGUUUUGAAGACACAGACAUCACACAACUUCUGUCAUCUGCAGCUUCACCUACAGUGUCAUAUGUCACACCCUCAGCAAAUGUCUCUGCCACAAAACAUCCC
Molecule: long non-coding RNA, 173 nt
Organism: Siniperca chuatsi (mandarin fish)
Lineage: Eukaryota; Metazoa; Chordata; Actinopteri; Centrarchiformes; Sinipercidae
Exons: 3
Source: RefSeq, a predicted model, not a curated record